GAACGCUGGCGGUAGGCCUAACACCUGCAAGUCGAACGGCAGCACAGUAAGAGCUUGCUCUUACGGGUGGCGAGUGGCGGACGGGUGAGGAAUACAUCGGAAUCUACUUUUUCGUGGGGGAUAACGUAGGGAAACUUACGCUAAUACCGCAUACGACCUACGGGUGAAAGCAGGGGAUCUUCGGACCUUGCGCGAUUGAAUGAGCCGAUGUCGGAUUAGCUAGUUGGCGGGGUAAAGGCCCACCAAGGCGACGAUCCGUAGCUGGUCUGAGAGGAUGAUCAGCCACACUGGAACUGAGACACGGUCCAGACUCCUACGGGAGGCAGCAGUGGGGAAUAUUGGACAAUGGGCGCAAGCCUGAUCCAGCCAUACCGCGUGGGUGAAGAAGGCCUUCGGGUUGUAAAGCCCUUUUGUUGGGAAAGAAAAGCAGCAGGUUAAUACCCCGCUGUUCUGGCGGUACCCAAAGAAUAAGCACCGGCUAACUUCGUG
RNAcentral lists this ribosomal RNA (489 nucleotides) under uncultured bacterium. RNAcentral describes it as "partial 16S ribosomal RNA". It matches the Rfam family "Bacterial small subunit ribosomal RNA", at positions 31 to 507 of the family's 1533-position model. The record is from RNAcentral.